CCUACGGGGGGCUGCAGUGGGGAAUAUUGGACAAUGGGCGGAAGCCUGAUCCAGCCAUGCCGCGUGUGUGAAGAAGGCCUUUUGGUUGUAAAGCACUUUAAGCGAGGAGGAGGCUCCUUUAGUUAAUACCUAAAGAGAGUGGACGUUACUCGCAGAAUAAGCACCGGCUAACUCUGUGCCAGCAGCCGCGGUAAUACAGAGGGUGCGAGCGUUAAUCGGAUUUACUGGGCGUAAAGCGUGCGGAGGCGGCUUUUUAAGUCGGAUGUGAAAUCCCAGAGCUUAACUUAAGAAUUGCAUUCGAUACUUGAAAGCUAGAGUAUGGGAGAGGAUGGUAGAAUUCCAGGUGUAGCGGUGGAAUGCGUAGAGAUCUGGAGGAAUACCGAUGGCGAAGGCAGCCAGCUGGCCUAAUACUGACGCUGAGGUACGAAAGCAUGGGGAGCAAACAGGAUUAGAUACCCCUGUAGUC
This 466-nucleotide ribosomal RNA is filed under the name uncultured Acinetobacter sp. Its description in RNAcentral is "bacterial SSU rRNA". It matches the Rfam family "Bacterial small subunit ribosomal RNA", at positions 338 to 795 of the family's 1533-position model. Lineage: Bacteria; Pseudomonadati; Pseudomonadota; Gammaproteobacteria; Moraxellales; Moraxellaceae. The record is from RNAcentral.